GGGUUGUGAGGUUAAGCGACUAAGCGUACACGGUGGAUGCCCUGGCAGUCAGAGGCGAUGAAGGACGUGCUAAUCUGCGAUAAGCGUCGGUAAGGUGAUAUGAACCGUUAUAACCGGCGAUUUCCGAAUGGGGAAACCCAGUGUGUUUCGACACACUAUCAUUAACUGAAUCCAUAGGUUAAUGAGGCGAACCGGGGGAACUGAAACAUCUAAGUACCCCGAGGAAAAGAAAUCAACCGAGAUUCCCCCAGUAGCGGCGAGCGAACGGGGAGCAGCCCAGAGCCUGAAUCAGUGUGUGUGUUAGUGGAAGCGUCUGGAAAGGCGCGCGAUACAGGGUGACAGCCCCGUACACAAAAAUGCACAUGCUGUGAGCUCGAUGAGUAGGGCGGGACACGUGGUAUCCUGUCUGAAUAUGGGGGGACCAUCCUCCAAGGCUAAAUACUCCUGACUGACCGAUAGUGAACCAGUACCGUGAGGGAAAGGCGAAAAGAACCCCGGCGAGGGGAGUGAAAAAGAACCUGAAACCGUGUACGUACAAGCAGUGGGAGCACGCUUAGGCGUGUGACUGCGUACCUUUUGUAUAAUGGGUCAGCGACUUAUAUUCUGUAGCAAGGUUAACCGAAUAGGGGAGCCGAAGGGAAACCGAGUCUUAACUGGGCGUUAAGUUGCAGGGUAUAGACCCGAAACCCGGUGAUCUAGCCAUGGGCAGGUUGAAGGUUGGGUAACACUAACUGGAGGACCGAACCGACUAAUGUUGAAAAAUUAGCGGAUGACUUGUGGCUGGGGGUGAAAGGCCAAUCAAACCGGGAGAUAGCUGGUUCUCCCCGAAAGCUAUUUAGGUAGCGCCUCGUGAAUUCAUCUCCGGGGGUAGAGCACUGUUUCGGCAAGGGGGUCAUCCCGACUUACCAACCCGAUGCAAACUGCGAAUACCGGAGAAUGUUAUCACGGGAGACACACGGCGGGUGCUAACGUCCGUCGUGAAGAGGGAAACAACCCAGACCGCCAGCUAAGGUCCCAAAGUCAUGGUUAAGUGGGAAACGAUGUGGGAAGGCCCAGACAGCCAGGAUGUUGGCUUAGAAGCAGCCAUCAUUUAAAGAAAGCGUAAUAGCUCACUGGUCGAGUCGGCCUGCGCGGAAGAUGUAACGGGGCUAAACCAUGCACCGAAGCUGCGGCAGCGACGCUUAUGCGUUGUUGGGUAGGGGAGCGUUCUGUAAGCCUGUGAAGGUGUGCUGUGAGGCAUGCUGGAGGUAUCAGAAGUGCGAAUGCUGACAUAAGUAACGAUAAAGCGGGUGAAAAGCCCGCUCGCCGGAAGACCAAGGGUUCCUGUCCAACGUUAAUCGGGGCAGGGUGAGUCGACCCCUAAGGCGAGGCCGAAAGGCGUAGUCGAUGGGAAACAGGUUAAUAUUCCUGUACUUGGUGUUACUGCGAAGGGGGGACGGAGAAGGCUAUGUUGGCCGGGCGACGGUUGUCCCGGUUUAAGCGUGUAGGCUGGUUUUCCAGGCAAAUCCGGAAAAUCAAGGCUGAGGCGUGAUGACGAGGCACUACGGUGCUGAAGCAACAAAUGCCCUGCUUCCAGGAAAAGCCUCUAAGCAUCAGGUAACAUCAAAUCGUACCCCAAACCGACACAGGUGGUCAGGUAGAGAAUACCAAGGCGCUUGAGAGAACUCGGGUGAAGGAACUAGGCAAAAUGGUGCCGUAACUUCGGGAGAAGGCACGCUGAUAUGUAGGUGAGGUCCCUCGCGGAUGGAGCUGAAAUCAGUCGAAGAUACCAGCUGGCUGCAACUGUUUAUUAAAAACACAGCACUGUGCAAACACGAAAGUGGACGUAUACGGUGUGACGCCUGCCCGGUGCCGGAAGGUUAAUUGAUGGGGUUAGCGCAAGCGAAGCUCUUGAUCGAAGCCCCGGUAAACGGCGGCCGUAACUAUAACGGUCCUAAGGUAGCGAAAUUCCUUGUCGGGUAAGUUCCGACCUGCACGAAUGGCGUAAUGAUGGCCAGGCUGUCUCCACCCGAGACUCAGUGAAAUUGAACUCGCUGUGAAGAUGCAGUGUACCCGCGGCAAGACGGAAAGACCCCGUGAACCUUUACUAUAGCUUGACACUGAACAUUGAGCCUUGAUGUGUAGGAUAGGUGGGAGGCUUUGAAGUGUGGACGCCAGUCUGCAUGGAGCCGACCUUGAAAUACCACCCUUUAAUGUUUGAUGUUCUAACGUUGACCCGUAAUCCGGGUUGCGGACAGUGUCUGGUGGGUAGUUUGACUGGGGCGGUCUCCUCCUAAAGAGUAACGGAGGAGCACGAAGGUUGGCUAAUCCUGGUCGGACAUCAGGAGGUUAGUGCAAUGGCAUAAGCCAGCUUGACUGCGAGCGUGACGGCGCGAGCAGGUGCGAAAGCAGGUCAUAGUGAUCCGGUGGUUCUGAAUGGAAGGGCCAUCGCUCAACGGAUAAAAGGUACUCCGGGGAUAACAGGCUGAUACCGCCCAAGAGUUCAUAUCGACGGCGGUGUUUGGCACCUCGAUGUCGGCUCAUCACAUCCUGGGGCUGAAGUAGGUCCCAAGGGUAUGGCUGUUCGCCAUUUAAAGUGGUACGCGAGCUGGGUUUAGAACGUCGUGAGACAGUUCGGUCCCUAUCUGCCGUGGGCGCUGGAGAACUGAGGGGGGCUGCUCCUAGUACGAGAGGACCGGAGUGGACGCAUCACUGGUGUUCGGGUUGUCAUGCCAAUGGCACUGCCCGGUAGCUAAAUGCGGAAGAGAUAAGUGCUGAAAGCAUCUAAGCACGAAACUUGCCCCGAGAUGAGUUCUCCCUGACCCUUUAAGGGUCCUGAAGGAACGUUGAAGACGACGACGUUGAUAGGCCGGGUGUGUAAGCGCAGCGAUGCGUUGAGCUAACCGGUACUAAUGAACCGUGAGGCUUAACCUUACAACGCCGAAGCUGUU
RNAcentral lists this ribosomal RNA (2930 nucleotides) under Escherichia coli. Its description in RNAcentral is "23S ribosomal RNA". It matches the Rfam family "Bacterial large subunit ribosomal RNA". The record is from RNAcentral. RNAcentral also lists the same sequence under 1 other name. Lineage: Bacteria; Pseudomonadati; Pseudomonadota; Gammaproteobacteria; Enterobacterales; Enterobacteriaceae.